RNAcentral lists this ribosomal RNA (253 nucleotides) under uncultured bacterium. RNAcentral's name for it is "partial 16S ribosomal RNA". It matches the Rfam family "Bacterial small subunit ribosomal RNA", at positions 524 to 776 of the family's 1533-position model. The record is from RNAcentral.
UACGGAGGAUGCAAGCGUUAUCCGGAAUGAUUGGGCGUAAAGCGUCCGCAGGUGGCUAUGUAAGUCUGCUGUUAAAGAGUCUGGCUCAACCAGAUAAAGGCAGUGGAAACUACAUGGCUAGAGUGCGUUCGGGGCAGAGGGAAUUCCUGGUGUAGCGGUGAAAUGCGUAGAGAUCAGGAAGAACACCGGUGGCGAAAGCGUUCUGCUAGACCUGUACUGACACUGAGGGACGAAAGCUAGGGGAGCGAAUGGG